GAUGAACGCUAGCUACAGGCUUAACACAUGCAAGUCGAGGGGAAACGGCAUUGAGUGCUUGCACUCUUUGGACGUCGACCGGCGCACGGGUGAGUAACGCGUAUCCAACCUUCCCAUUACUGUGGGAUAACCUGCCGAAAGGCAGACUAAUACCGCAUAGUCUUCGAUGACGGCAUCAGAUUUGAAGUAAAGAUUUAUCGGUAAUGGAUGGGGAUGCGUCUGAUUAGCUUGUUGGCGGGGUAACGGCCCACCAAGGCGACGAUCAGUAGGGGUUCUGAGAGGAAGGCCCCCCACAUUGGAACUGAGACACGGUCCAAACUCCUACGGGAGGCAGCAGUGAGGAAUAUUGGUCAAUGGACGGAAGUCUGAACCAGCCAAGUAGCGUGCAGGAUGACGGCCCUAUGGGUUGUAAACUGCUUUUGUAUGGGGAUAAAGUUAGGGACGUGUCCCUAUUUGCAGGUACCAUACGAAUAAGGACCGGCUAAUUCCGUG
Molecule: ribosomal RNA, 492 nt
Filed under: uncultured bacterium
Lineage: Bacteria
Description: partial 16S ribosomal RNA
Rfam family: Bacterial small subunit ribosomal RNA
Source: RNAcentral